AACAUCUUCUUAUAAAUAGAAGGAUGUGCAAGUGACUGGAGCUCAAAUGCAGUUAAAAUUAGUAUACCUGAGUGAAAUUGUUGUGUAGAUGGAGAAUUUUUGGAUGUUAGUCCACGUCGGCUGUCAAUAACCGGUUGUUUUGUUUGUAAUUGUAAUUGAGCCACGAAACGGGAAUAUAGCCGAAGGAAAACAGUGGACAGCAUACGUUGAUUGAUCGAUGACGGUGACGGUGAGACCGGACGGCAACUCCGGUGCGCCACCGGAACGGUGGAAAAUGACCCUGCUUCUUCGUCAUCCGUACGGCGGUUACCAUCAGUUUAAUCACUAAGGGGCUGUUUGUUUAUCUCAUGAGACUCUUAAUGGUUCAGACCUCUUACUGAUUCAUUACUUAACGGUUCAGACUGUUUGUUUCAUGAGCAGAUGUCUGAAUGGUUCAGACAUUUGCCUCUGAAUGGUUAAGAUUUAUACAAAGUCUGAAUGGUUUAGACCACUAAUCUGAAUUGGUCAGACAUUUGCCUCUGAACGGUUAAGCAUUAUACAGGCUCUUAAUGGUUCAGACCUCUUACUGGUUCAGCACUUAAUGGUUCAGACCUCUUACUAGUUCAGCACUUAACCAUUCAGAUGUUGCCAAACAACCCCUAACUAUUGUUGUUACGUACGGAUAAUUUGUAGUUUAAUUAGUAUUUUUAUUAACAUAUGUUUGUUCACUAAAGCCAGCUCAU
Molecule: long non-coding RNA, 722 nt
Filed under: Helianthus annuus (common sunflower)
Lineage: Eukaryota; Viridiplantae; Streptophyta; Magnoliopsida; Asterales; Asteraceae
Description: hypothetical non coding rna
Source: RNAcentral